GGCCUAAUUAAAUAAAUCAUUGUGUUGUAUUUUUUAUAUAUAAUUAUUUAUUGUUAUUUUGGAUUUCAUAUCAAUUAAUAGAUAAUCUUGCGAUAUUAAUAAUUUAGUGGCAAAUCAUUUAGCCCACUAGACAUUGGUUUGCUUAUAGGAUGAAGGAGUGUAGCACCUUCUGAUAGAUCGAGAAAGCCAAGGUCCCCCUAUCCCGAGUAAAUAUUCGUUGCAAUGGUAAUAUCACAUCAAACUUGUAAUAGGCCAAUCAAA
This 261-nucleotide long non-coding RNA is filed under the name Elaeis guineensis (African oil palm). Its description in RNAcentral is "long non-coding RNA (EGUI_LNC015860)". Lineage: Eukaryota; Viridiplantae; Streptophyta; Magnoliopsida; Arecales; Arecaceae. The record is from RNAcentral.